This 478-nucleotide ribosomal RNA is filed under the name uncultured bacterium. Its description in RNAcentral is "partial 16S ribosomal RNA". It matches the Rfam family "Bacterial small subunit ribosomal RNA", at positions 28 to 523 of the family's 1533-position model. The record is from RNAcentral.
GACGAACGCUGGCGGCGUGCUUAACACAUGCAAGUCGAACGGUAAGGCCCUUCGGGGUACACGAGUGGCGAACGGGUGAGUAACACGUGGGUGAUCUGCCCUGCACUUCGGGAUAAGCCUGGGAAACUGGGUCUAAUACCGGAUAGGACCACUGCCUGCAUGGGUGGUGGUGGAAAGCUUUUGCGAUGUGGGAUGGGCCCGCGGCCUAUCAGCUUGUUGGUGGGGUGAUGGCCUACCAAGGCGACGACGGGUAGCCGGCCUGAGAGGGUGACCGGCCACACUGGGACUGAGAUACGGCCCAGACUCCUACGGGGGGCAGCAGUGGGGAAUAUUGCACGAUGGGCGCAAGCCUGAUGCAGCGACGCCGCGUGAGGGAUGACGGCCUUCGGGUUGUAAACCUCUUUCAGCACCGACGAAGCGCAAGUGACGGUAGGUGCAGAAGAAGGACCGGCCAACUACGUGCCAGCCGCCGCCGUAA